This is a long non-coding RNA of Vidua macroura (Pin-tailed whydah), 431 nucleotides long. RefSeq lists it as uncharacterized. Lineage: Eukaryota; Metazoa; Chordata; Aves; Passeriformes; Viduidae. The transcript has 3 exons. The record is from RefSeq and is a predicted model, not a curated record.
AGUCCCUCUCAGACUGUUUUUCUGCCCAUAGAUACCCAUCUUUGAACCAUGAGAAGAUAAAGCCCAUGACUCCUGUGUGACCUUUCAGGGUCCAAAAGUCAAUGAAAGAUAGAAUAGAGACCACCAAGCCCACUGCUGCACCCCAUUGCUGGCCACAUCCAUGCAAUGCUGCUCCUGCAUUGGCCCCAGUGCCCUGGUAGGCAGCUUGGAGGGAUGAAACAGACAGAGAUUCUCCUUGGAAGGAUGACGAAGCCAAGCUCUUGAAGAUUCUUAUUAAGGCUUGUUAGGAGAGGCAAGAGACUUUUUGAAAUAGCAGCUUCUAAGAAAAUAAAACAUCUGGCAGACAGAUGUGCUGCUUCAGAGCUGUUUAGUGCCCAGACCCACGACUUCCAAAGGAAAGACAGAAAGGGUGGCCCAGAGAGAAGAACCAG